Molecule: RNA transcript, 1538 nt
Organism: Homo sapiens (human)
Lineage: Eukaryota; Metazoa; Chordata; Mammalia; Primates; Hominidae
Gene name: mucin-5AC-like
Exons: 5
Source: RefSeq, a predicted model, not a curated record
CUCCCCUCAAGACACGGUCACAGAUCAGAGGGCACACCAUCCUAGCAGUGGAGCAGGACCAGCUGGGACAGGGUCCUUCUGUGACACCUGCUGCAUCACCAGGCUGGGUGAACGGACACAAUUGCCAGAACUCACAGAAUAGAAGUAUCAGCACCGAAACCUCACAGGAAAAAUGAAGACAUUUUCUUUCUCUUCUGAGUAACUGAAAUAAAAUCUGGCCUUUGUGAAACCCUGGAAAUACCACAACCCUCAACUAGAAACACCAAUACCAGCUCCUCCGCGAGUUUCCAGCUCCACAACCUAAGACAUCAGAGGCAGCAUUGGUUCCUCACGUAGAGUCCAGCUCCGGGACCCUCAUAUUUGAACCGCAGGGCCAUCUCAUCCCUGGAUCUCCAGCUGCACCACACUCAAAUUAGAACAACAUCAGUUCCUCCCCAGGUCUCCACCUGCACAGCCCUCGAAAGGGAACAUCAGCUCCUCCCCGGGUCUCCAGCUGUAGGUCCCUAAAACUAGAACAUCAGCUCCCGCCUGGGUCGCCAGCAGCACCACCCUCAAACUGGAACAUCAGAUCCCCAUGGGUCUCCAGCUGCAGGGCCCUCAAACUGGAACAUCAGCUCCCCCACCAGAUCUCCAGCUGCACGGACCUCAAACUGGAACAUCAGCUCCCCGCCGGGUCUCCAGGUGCACUGCCUGCAAACUGGAACAUGAGCUCCCUGCCGGGUCCCCAGCUGCAUGGCCCUCAAACUGGAACAUCAGCUCCCCACCAGAUCGCCAGCUGCACGACCCUCAAACUGGAAUAUCAGCUCCACCCCGGGGCUCCAGGUGCACAGCCCUCAACUUGCAACAUCAGCUCCCCACCGGGUCUCCAGCUGCACGGCUCUCAAACAGGAACAUCUGCUCCCCACAGGGUCUCCAGCUGCACGGCUCUCAAACAGGAACAUCAGCUCCCCACAGGGUCUCCAGCUGCACGGUCCUCAACCUGCAACACUGGCUCCCCACCAGGUCUCCAGAUGCACGGCCCUCAAACUGCAACAUCAGUUCCCCCCGGGUCUCCAGCUACACCGCGUCAACCUGGAACAUCAGCUCCCCGCCGGGUCUCCAGCUCCACGGCCCUCAAACUGCAACACUGGCUCCUCACCGGGUCUCCAGAUGCACGGCCCUCAAACUGGAACAUCAACUCCCCACCGGGUAUACAGCUGCAUGGCUGGAACAUCAGCUCCCCCGCGGGUCUCCAGCUGCACAGACCUCAAACUUGGACAUCAGCUCCCCGCCGGGUCAUCAACUGCACGGCCCUCAAACUGGAACAUCAGCUCCACCCUUGGGUCUCCAGCAGCACGGCCCUACAACUGGACCAUCAGCUUCCCCCCGGGUGCACGGCCAUCAAACUGGAACAUCAGCUCCCCGGCCCUCAAACCAGAACAUCAGCUCCCCGCCGGAUCUCCACCUGCACAGCCGUCAACAUCAGCUCCUCCCCGACUCCACGAGUCUCACAGAACAGCCACACUGGCUCCUUCAUUGUCUUCAGCUCCACAACCUAA